AACGAACGCUGGCGGCAUGCCUAACACAUGCAAGUCGAACGAGACCUUCGGGUCUAGUUGCGCACGGGUGCGUAACGCGUGGGAACCUGCCCUUAGGUUCGGAAUAACUCCCCGAAAGGGGUGCUAAUACCGGAUAAUGUCUUCGGACCAAAGAUUUAUCGCCUUUGGAUGGGCCCGCGUUGGUUUAGCUAGUUGGUAGGGUAAAAGCCUACCAAGGCGACGAUCCAUAGCUGGUCUGAGAGGAUGAUCAGCCACACUGGGACUGAGACACGGCCCAGACUCCUACGGGAGGCAGCAGUGGGGAAUAUUGGACAAUGGGCGAAAGCCUGAUCCAGCAAUGCCGCGUGAGUGAUGAAGGCCUUAGGGUUGUAAAGCUCUUUUACCCGGGAUGAUAAUGACAGUACCGGGAGAAUAAGCUCCGGCUAACUCCGUG
Molecule: ribosomal RNA, 433 nt
Filed under: uncultured bacterium
Lineage: Bacteria
Description: partial 16S ribosomal RNA
Rfam family: Bacterial small subunit ribosomal RNA
Source: RNAcentral